RNAcentral lists this ribosomal RNA (431 nucleotides) under uncultured bacterium. RNAcentral describes it as "bacterial SSU rRNA". It matches the Rfam family "Bacterial small subunit ribosomal RNA", at positions 355 to 786 of the family's 1533-position model. The record is from RNAcentral.
UGAGGAAUAUUGGUCAAUGGGCUGAGGCCUGAACCAGCCAAGUCGCGUGAGGGAAGACGGUCCUAUGGAUUGUAAACCUCUUUUGCCGGGAGCAAGACGGUCACGAGUGACCUACUGAGAGUACCCGGAGAAAAGCAAUCGGCUAACUCCGUGCCAGCAGCCGCGGUAAUACGGAGGAUGCGAGCGUUAUCCGGAUUUAUUGGGUUUAAAGGGUGCGUAGGCCGACUGUCAAGUCAGUGGUAAAAUUGAGAGGCUCAACCUCUUCGAGCCAUUGAAACUGGCGGUCUAGAGUGGGCGAGAAGUAUGCGGAAUGCGAGGUGUAGCGGUGAAAUGCAUAGAUAUCACGCAGAACUCCGAUUGCGAAGGCAGCAUACCGGCGCCCGACUGACGCUGAGGCACGAAAGCGUGGGUAUCGAACAGGAUUAGAUACC